RNAcentral lists this non-coding RNA (24 nucleotides) under Arabidopsis thaliana (thale cress). Lineage: Eukaryota; Viridiplantae; Streptophyta; Magnoliopsida; Brassicales; Brassicaceae. The record is from RNAcentral.
AACUGCUCAACAACGUGAUAAGUC